Molecule: long non-coding RNA, 915 nt
Organism: Lactuca sativa (garden lettuce)
Lineage: Eukaryota; Viridiplantae; Streptophyta; Magnoliopsida; Asterales; Asteraceae
Source: RefSeq, a predicted model, not a curated record
UGAACAUAACCCUCAUUCUUCCCAACCCUCCCUCUCAUCGAGCUCACCGGGAAAAGGAGAAAACGAAACAGCAGAACCGUCGGAGCAGCCCCUGUCACCAUCAUCGCCGCUGCUGUGAACCACUGUCGUCGUCAGCUGUUGCUUCCGUCGGUCAUCUCCGACCAGCCUCAUCACCUCUUGCGACCCCUGAUUUCGGCCACCUAGUACCUUUGUAAAACUUCAUCAGAUGGACGGAACACCAAGAGCUUCUAUAAAACCCAGAUUGCAAAUGUAGAUUCGAGUAUAAGGAAGCAAAAAAGAAAAGUGAAAGAGCAAUGGGACCUCCGUCGAAUCUAGAUCCAAUGAUUGCAUACCCAGAAAAUCUCGACCUCUAUAUCAGUCCCGAUCUCCUCAAUGACAUUCUUCUCUUGUCCCGAUCUCCUCCACCUGCAAAUCGAUCUUGUUAAGCAACAAUGGUGCCACGACGGGUCGGCGAGAGAGAGGGAGAAGUCUAGAUAUAGUAGCUGCUUCACCAUGGUUGCCGGUGUGCUUGAUCGUUCCUCACCAACGUUCUUCACGGUUGAAGCACAGAUCUGUGCAGAUCUAAUUUAAGUCACAAGCCGAUGGUGCUUGAUCUGAUGAGAGAGAGACCCAUUGGAUAUUAAAUUUUAUUAUUUUUUUCUUUUUAAAAAAAAUAAAAGAAAAGAAAACCUCAUAAAAGGUCCCUGGAUAGUUAAAUGACGGAAAUACCUUUCAUUUAACGUAGAAAUCUAACAUAGUUAUCAAAAAGGACCAAACAUCAAAAGUUUUGAAAACACAGGGACCAUCUAUGAGGCUUUUAAACCACGGGGACUAAACUUCAGAUUUUAGGUAACCACAUGGACCAUUUAUGAUGUUUCUUCAUUAAUUAAUUAUAAUCGGAUGUUUGUUUUGUAA